GAAAAGUUCGGUCGGGUUUUU
Molecule: microRNA, 21 nt
Filed under: Bos taurus (domestic cattle)
Lineage: Eukaryota; Metazoa; Chordata; Mammalia; Artiodactyla; Bovidae
Description: bta-miR-2284k
Source: miRBase by way of RNAcentral